RNAcentral lists this long non-coding RNA (2821 nucleotides) under Marmota monax (woodchuck). The stretch from base 2744 to 2812 matches the Rfam family "tRNA". The record is from RNAcentral. Lineage: Eukaryota; Metazoa; Chordata; Mammalia; Rodentia; Sciuridae.
GUCAAGCAAGGCCUGGACCCAUCCUAGCACAAAUGGCACUAGCGGAACUGAGAAGCUGCUGUAAAGUUCCCCCAGGACUCCCAGGGAAACUCAGCUGACUGUUCACAACAGAUAGAAACAAAAGUCAGUUUGACUGCUUCAUCUUAAACACUUAGCAAAGACAGUUAAAACCAAAACACAGCUAUUCCUGGGCAUUUUAAAUAAUAAUAAUAGUUAAAUGUAACUUCCAAAAAUAAGUAAACUGCAGGCUGCAAAGGAGAUUCUUAGGCAGGAAUGCCUGAUAACUAUCAAAAGGAACUGCCAGGGUAGUUUUUAGUUUAAGGCCUACAGCUAUUUCUAACCUACACAGGUAGGCUUGGUGUUUGUUAGUAAGAUUAUCCAGCCCUAAGUAACAGAAUUAAAGGUUUCUCUAUUAGACACAGAGGUCAUACUAGUAAAAGGAUUUUGCAAGAUCAGAUGACAUUAAAUUAUUAAACUGUAUCUUAAGGGGAAGGACAUCUGUAACCCUAAAAGUUAAAUGUUAUGUUUACAGUCCUGGUAACUGGGGAUGUUAAAGCCUGGUGAGGGAACUUAUGUACAGUGACAUGUUCCAGCUGCUGCAACACUUAUUCAGUACUCAUGGUUUUUGUUUCUCUCACAGAAACACCCAUCCCCAGAUGACAACCUGUUUUUCCCCAACCAGACCUCAUAUGGAACUGACUUCUAAAAGGGAACUCACGUCCCCCAUGUCACCCCCCAUGUCUUCAAGCCCCCUCAUGUUCGACACCCCUUUUCAGCUCUGAAGCAGCUAGAACGAGCCGUCGCCCCUUCUCCUUACAGCAAUAAAGAGUUCCUAAAAUUAGGGGGAAUGAAGCCAGAAAUGGAUAGACAGUGUAGAUAGGUAAAUCGAGUCAGGUUGGAUGGAUAUAGGAGGCCCAUUUUGAGUGAGUCUGGGAAGUUGAAGGCGGUCUCCUGAGAUUACUGUUUACCAAGAUGUAGAGCCUGGCCAAAUAGGCCCCCAACUGAGGGAACCAUGAUUGUUUCCCAAGUUUCCAGAAAAGGGGGGGAAUGAAAAACCAGCCUCUACCUCAGAGCAAAGCCUGUCCAAGGAAGGGACAUGACCUUUGUCCUUGGAAAGACCCACAGAGCACUCCUAGGCACAUUCCCACCCUGCUAAGUGGUUUAUCUACAAAUAACAGGAGAGAUCUGCUAUGACAGGUGUCCCUGACUCAGUCAGGCUAGGUGAGGACCCAUAGCAGCCACCUAGCAGCCACCAAUUAGCAUGAGACAGGGAAAUACCUGGGAUGCCAGAUGACCCUCCCAGUAGUUUAUGGUGGUUGAUAACGUGUUGGGAAACCAUGUAGUUCAGCACGUACACCCCUCUUGGCUUAAACCAAUCAGUUCAAAUGAAUACCCCUUUUGUACUGACCAAUCACCCCUACCCAACUUGUUCCUGCCAGUGAAUGUGCUAAUCAUGUUUUAGAGUUGUUAUUUGAUUUCCCCGCGGUGUGUGAUGAUUUGCUAAGAGACGCUAUGAUGUAUGUGGGGGUCCCCGCCUUCUCCAAAGAAUGUAUAAAACUGCUGCAAACCCUGGGCUCGGGGCCUCUCAGCGUCACCAGUUGCUGUGUGCAUGCGGAGGACCGAGCUAGCUUGCAAUAAACACCUCUUUGCUGCUUAAAAAAAAAAGAAUGUAUCCCUACCCCAAACCCCUGCUGUCUCUAGGGAGCUUCCAGAGCUGGGAGGGAGUCCUCCCUGGGGUGUAGGUCCCCAAAUGCCAGACUUUGAGGCCUGACUCUCUUCCCUUGACUGUGCCCCGAGAGGACCUAGUUUGCCACUAACUUUGCUGCUGCAGUUAUUCAAAGGUAGAAGACUAAAGCUAAAAACCAAAAAAACACCAAAACACCCCAGGAAUCCUUAUGGGAGGUGAGCUGAAGAAAAGCAGCCCUGAGCCGGGAAGCAGAAGUGCAUCCUCUUCCAGAAAGGUUGGACUACACGGAGUGAUUCCGUCUCCUCAUCUCAUCAGCUGAAUGGAAGGUGAGGAAAGUGAGGCUCAGAGAGAUUAAGUAAUUUGCCCAAAGUAACACAGCCAGUAUGUAACCUCGGACCCCGAAGCCCGUGUUCUCUCCAGUCCUUCACACUGCAGCAGAACUCCUUACAGGCACCGCUUAGACCCUUCCCGAUGGUUCUAGCGGAUCUUGGAAGACCAGCAUCAGUGGUACGUUCGCUGAGCAGCGCCACCCUUAUCAAGGAGGAAGUAUUAAAAGCUGUGCCAAAAGAAGCACAGGCAGCAUUUCUGGAAGGGGAUGCCAAUGUCACACUGGAGGAGGACUAGAGAACACACCACAUCUGCUACUGCUCUGGUCUUCAGAAAGGCGAGUCAGCAUGCUGGCUUUAAAGACCCUGGGAGCUGCAGACCCUGGAGUUAAAGCAGGACACCCAUCAAAGGAAAAACGGAAUGUGGCCUUGCUUGCCGGAUUGCCAGGGAGGCUGGAACGAGCGCAUGUCCCAACAGGCUCCUGCCCAGAUAAAGCCUGAUGCCACCCAGGUGAGAGUUCCACUCUGGGAAGCUACACAGAACUGCUUCAUUGCUCCUGAAGGAGUGGAGAAAUCCAAAAAUGAGAAAUCUGAGGGGUGGGGCUAUGGCUCAGUGGCAGAGCGCUCACCUAGCACACGCAAGGCACUGGGUUCAAACCUCAGCACCACAUAACAAUGAAACAAAGAUACUGAGUCCACCUACAACUAAAAAAUAAAUAUUUAAAGGGCUGGGGUUGUAGCUCAGUGGUAGAGGGCUCACCUUGCAUGUGGAAGUCACUGGGUUCAAUCCUCAGCACCACAUAAAAAU